Molecule: ribosomal RNA, 254 nt
Filed under: uncultured bacterium
Lineage: Bacteria
Description: partial 16S ribosomal RNA
Rfam family: Bacterial small subunit ribosomal RNA
Source: RNAcentral
UACGGGGGGAGCAAGCGUUGUUCGGAUUUACUGGGCGUAAAGGGCGCGUAGGCGGUCGUGACAAGUCACUUGUGAAAUCUCCGGGCUUAACUCGGAACGGUCAAGUGAUACUGUCGGACUAGAGUACAGAAGGGGCAACUGGAAUUCUCGGUGUAGCGGUGAAAUGCGUAGAUAUCGAGAGGAACACCUGUGGCGAAGGCGGCCUUCUGGACGGUGACUGACGCUGAGGCGCGAAAGCGUGGGGAGCAAACGGG